This 465-nucleotide ribosomal RNA is filed under the name uncultured bacterium. RNAcentral's name for it is "partial 16S ribosomal RNA". It matches the Rfam family "Bacterial small subunit ribosomal RNA", at positions 28 to 507 of the family's 1533-position model. The record is from RNAcentral.
GACGAACGCUGGCGGCGUGCUUAACACAUGCAAGUCGAACGGUAAGGCUCCAGCUUGCUGGGGUACACGAGUGGCGAACGGGUGAGUAACACGUGGGUGACCUGCCCUGCACUUCGGGAUAAGCCUGGGAAACUGGGUCUAAUACCGGAUAGGACCGCACCGUGAGGGUGUGGUGGAAAGUUUUUUCGGUGGGGGAUGGGCCCGCGGCCUAUCAGCUUGUUGGUGGGGUAAUGGCCUACCAAGGCGGCGACGGGUAGCCGGCCUGAGAGGGUGGACGGCCACAUUGGGACUGAGACACGGCCCAGACUCCUACGGGAGGCAGCAGUGGGGAAUAUUGCACAAUGGGCGGAAGCCUGAUGCAGCGACGCCGCGUGGGGGAUGACGGCCUUCGGGUUGUAAACUCCUUUCACCAUCGACGAAGGGUUUCUGACGGUAGAUGGAGAAGAAGCACCGGCUAACUACGUG